This 757-nucleotide non-coding RNA is filed under the name Hygrotus impressopunctatus. The record is from RNAcentral. Lineage: Eukaryota; Metazoa; Arthropoda; Insecta; Coleoptera; Dytiscidae.
UUUGUUUUAUUUUUUAUUUACAUGUAAAUUAAAGUAAGAAUAUAAAUUUAAUUUAAAUAAUUAUUUUUAGUAUUAUUAUUCGCAGUAUAAAGUUUUAUUAAUUUAAGAAAUUAAGAAUUAUAAAUAAAUUAUAGUAUUGACUAAAUUUGUGCCAGCAGUUGCGGUUAUACAAAAAAUACAAAUAAAUUUUAUUGAUUAAUAAUUAAAUUAUUUUAUUUUAAUUAAAAUUAAUUUUAUAAGGUGAAAUUUAAAAAUUAAAAUAGUUAUUAAAUAAGAUAUUGAUUUUAUGAAAUUUAAAAAUUAAACUAGGAUUAGAUACCCUAUUAUUUUAAAUGUAAAUUUUUAAUCAAAGUAGUAUUAGUUAUGAUCUUGAAAUUUAAAAAUUUUGGCGGUAUUUUAGUCUAUUUAGAGGAACCUGUUCUAUAAUUGAUAGUCCACGAUAAACAGUACUUUAUUUAAUUAAUUUGUAUAUCAUCGUUAUAAGAUAUUUUAAAAGAAUUUAAAUAUUUAAUAUUUUUCAUUAAAAUAUAUUUCAGAUCAAGGUGCAGUUUAUAAUAAAGAAGAAAUGGGUUACAAUAAAAUUAUUUAAGCGGAUUUAUUUAUUAAAAUGGUAAUGAAGAUGGAUUUAAUAGUAAUAAAAUUUAUAUAAAUUUUAUGAUUUUAGCUCUAAAAUGUGUACAUAUCGCCCGUCGCUCUUAUUAUAAGAUAAGAUAAGUCGUAACAAAGUAGAUUUACUGGAAAGUGAAUCUAGAAAGUC